RNAcentral lists this ribosomal RNA (877 nucleotides) under uncultured bacterium. RNAcentral describes it as "bacterial SSU rRNA". It matches the Rfam family "Bacterial small subunit ribosomal RNA", at positions 33 to 900 of the family's 1533-position model. The record is from RNAcentral.
ACGCUAGCUACAGGCUUAACACAUGCAAGUCGAGGGGAAACGACAUCGAAAGCUUGCUUUUGAUGGGCGUCGACCGGCGCACGGGUGAGUAACGCGUAUCCAACCUGCCCACCACUUGGGGAUAACCUUGCGAAAGUAAGACUAAUACCCAAUGACGUCUCUAGAAGACAUCUGAAAGAGAUUAAAGAUUUAUCGGUGAUGGAUGGGGAUGCGUCUGAUUAGCUUGUUGGCGGGGUAACGGCCCACCAAGGCAACGAUCAGUAGGGGUUCUGAGAGGAAGGUCCCCCACAUUGGAACUGAGACACGGUCCAAACUCCUACGGGAGGCAGCAGUGAGGAAUAUUGGUCAAUGGACGAGAGUCUGAACCAGCCAAGUAGCGUACAGGAUGACGGCCCUAUGGGUCGUAAACUGCUUUUAUAAGGGAAUAAAGUGAGUCUCGUGAGACUUUUUGCAUGUACCUUAUGAAUAAGGACCGGCUAAUUCCGUGCCAGCAGCCGCGGUAAUACGGAAGGUCCGGGCGUUAUCCGGAUUUAUUGGGUUUAAAGGGAGCGUAGGCCGGAGAUUAAGCGUGUUGUGAAAUGUAGACGCUCAACGUCUGCACUGCAGCGCGAACUGGUUUCCUUGAGUACGCACAAAGUGGGCGGAAUUCGUGGUGUAGCGGUGAAAUGCUUAGAUAUCACGAAGGACUCCGAUUGCGAAGGCAGCUCACUGGAGCGCAACUGACGCUGAAGCUCGAAAGUGCGGGUAUCGAACAGGAUUAGAUACCCUGGUAGUCCGCACGGUAAACGAUGGAUGCCCGCUGUUGGUCUGAAUAGGUCAGCGGCCAAGCGAAAGCAUUAAGCAUCCCACCUGGGGAGUACGCCGGCAACGGUGAAAC